CAGUAGCCACGGUAAUACGGAGGGUGCAAGCGUUAAUCGGAAUUACUGGGCGUAAAGCGCACGCAGGCGGUCUGUCAAGUCAGAUGUGAAAUCCCCGGGCUUAACCUGGGAACUGCAUUUGAAACUGGCAGGCUAGAGUCUUGUAGAGGGGGGUAGAAUUCCAGGUGUAGCGGUGAAAUGCGUAGAGAUCUGGAGGAAUACCGGUGGCGAAGGCGGCCCCCUGGACAAAGACUGACGCUCAGGUGCGAAAGCGUGGGGAGCAAACAGGAUUAGAUACCCCUGUAGUCCCUGUCUCUUAUAA
This 301-nucleotide ribosomal RNA is filed under the name uncultured bacterium. RNAcentral's name for it is "partial 16S ribosomal RNA". It matches the Rfam family "Bacterial small subunit ribosomal RNA", at positions 509 to 809 of the family's 1533-position model. The record is from RNAcentral.